GCGGACGGGUGAGUAACGCGUGGGUAACCUGCCCUAUGGAGGGGGAUAACACAGAGAAAUCUGUGCUAAUACCGCAUAAGCGCACAGUAUCGCAUGAUACAGUGUGAAAAACUCCGGUGCCAUAGGAUGGACCCGCGUCUGAUUAGCUAGUUGGUGAGGUAAUGGCUCACCAAGGCGACGAUCAGUAGCCGACCUGAGAGGGUGAUCGGCCACAUUGGGACUGAGACACGGCCCAAACUCCUACGGGAGGCAGCAGUGGGGAAUAUUGCACAAUGGAGGAAACUCUGAUGCAGCGACGCCGCGUGAAGGAAGAAGGUUUUCGGAUCGUAAACUUCUAUCAGCAGGGAAGAAAAUGACGGUACCUGACUAAGAAGCCCCGGCUAACUACGUGCCAGCAGCCGCGGUAAUACGUAGGGGGCAAGCGUUAUCCGGAAUUACUGGGUGUAAAGGGAGCGUAGGCGGUAGAGUAAGUUAGAUGUGAAAGCCCAAGGCUCAACCUUGGGACUGCAUUUAAAACUGCUUUACUAGAGUACAGGAGAGGAAAGUGGAAUUCCUAGUGUAGCGGUGAAAUGCGUAGAUAUUAGGAGGAACACCAGUGGCGAAGGCGACUUUCUGGACUGUAACUGACGCUGAGGCUCGAAAGCGUGGGGAGCGAACAGGAUUAGAUACCCUGGUAGUCCACGCCGUAAACGAUGAGUGCUAGGUGUCGGGACGUCAAGUCUCGGUGCCGCAGCUAACGCAAUAAGCACUCCACCUGGGGAGUACGAUCGCAAGAUUGAAACUCAAAGGAAUUGACGGGGGCCCGCACAAGCGGUGGAGCAUGUGGUUUAAUUCGAAGCAACGCGA
Molecule: ribosomal RNA, 846 nt
Filed under: uncultured bacterium
Lineage: Bacteria
Description: bacterial SSU rRNA
Rfam family: Bacterial small subunit ribosomal RNA
Source: RNAcentral